This is a long non-coding RNA of Sarcophilus harrisii (Tasmanian devil), 691 nucleotides long. RefSeq lists it as uncharacterized. The record is from RefSeq and is a predicted model, not a curated record. The transcript has 2 exons. NCBI's taxonomy places the organism in Eukaryota, Metazoa, Chordata, Mammalia, Dasyuromorphia, Dasyuridae.
AAAGCAUAAGCACGAGCAUGAGCAUAAAAGCUCAAGUGCCUCAGCAAACAGAGAGUCCCCCUCAAGUUUAUUUACUGUUGGUGUAGCUACAAUGCUAACAAGCAUGGUGAUCUGAUUUCCAGAAGUCUAAAAAGGUUAUAAGGCAGUGUUAAAGUAGGGACGGUAACAACAGAUGACAGUGAGAAGGAAGCAUAGAAACUAAAUAGCCUUCUGGUGCCAUCAGAUGGAAUAAAUAUUCUUAUAUAUUUGAAUAGAUUUUGUGGAAAAUCAAGGUAUAUUCAAAAUGAUCACAUAAUCAUCACAAUCAGAGUCAGAGACUUUGAAGGGACCAUGCAGAAUAUCUCAUACUACUUAUAUCUAACAGAAAUCUCUUAUGAAGAACUAUAGAACCUCCAAUGAUAAGGAACCCAGUAUUCCCCAAAGACAAUCCAUUCCAUUUUAGGAAAAUUCAAAUCAUUCAUAAAUCUGAAGGAACACUGAGUUGAAGUCUACCGCAAUACAUGAACCUAUCAUACAUACCUAGUUCAUCCUCUUUGUGUUACACAGAAAAACCUAAUCCUUCUUCCACAUGACAGUCCUUCAGAUAUUUGAAGAGCCACUCAAGCUCACCUCUCUUGCCUGGGAUCCCCGGAAAAGAGGCAUCUGCACUGAGAAUUACCUUCCAGCUUUCUUCACCAGUAAGGAUCAUUGA